RNAcentral lists this ribosomal RNA (253 nucleotides) under uncultured bacterium. RNAcentral describes it as "partial 16S ribosomal RNA". It matches the Rfam family "Bacterial small subunit ribosomal RNA", at positions 524 to 776 of the family's 1533-position model. The record is from RNAcentral.
UACAGAGGUCUCAAGCGUUGUUCGGAUUCAUUGGGCGUAAAGGGUGCGUAGGCGGCCAACUAAGUCGGAUGUGAAAUCCCCAGGCUUAACCUGGGAACUGCAUCCGAUACUGGAUGGCUUGAAUCCGGGAGAGGGAUGCGGAAUUCCAGGUGUAGCGGUGAAAUGCGUAGAUAUCUGGAGGAACACCGGUGGCGAAGGCGGCAUCCUGGACCGGCAUUGACGCUGAGGAGCGAAAGCGUGGGGAGCGAACAGG